This is a long non-coding RNA of Pan troglodytes (chimpanzee), 682 nucleotides long. RefSeq lists it as uncharacterized. NCBI's taxonomy places the organism in Eukaryota, Metazoa, Chordata, Mammalia, Primates, Hominidae. The record is from RefSeq and is a predicted model, not a curated record. The transcript has 3 exons.
AGUCUGGUUUAAGUACCUCUUUGUAGCAGAGGCUGUGGAUGGCUGGUCCAUAUCCCUAGCCCUCACCACCUCAGGGCAUUCAAGCCUGCUUUCCAACUGCUGGUAUCUGCAUUUCUUUGCCCAAGGACACAUGUCUUUUGCCUGUGGAGCAAGCCCAAAUUGGUCCAAAGGAAUACUCCCGGGAGCAACUUCAACCUACGACUAAUGGAAGUUCAGGAGGAUGCUGUGACCCCUCAAUGGAUAUGCUAAUCAUCACAUCAGAAGCACAACUAGCUUCAAAUGGAAACCAGAUUGCACUUGGUCACUGACGAAGCAGGAGAUUAAACAAGCUACACUGUGUCUCUGGGAGAACAAAAAGCCAAAAGGCACAUUUAUCAACUCUGAAUCACAACACUGAGGAGAAGAAGACAAGCCAAGAUCAUCCUAUGCCUGGAAGAGAUCUCAGUUGUAUGGAAAUAAUCAGCCAAUAUGACCACCCACUUCUGGAAGAGCAUCUCUAAGACAGAGGGGGGACUGUGUCUCUUCACUUUCCAUACAUAGUUCUCAAUGUGUAUUUUUUUAAUUGAUUACUUUUUCCCCUUGAAGGAUUUCCUAAAAUCUAUUUAAUUUUACCUGACCUAUGUCCCAGAAAUUGUCUUUUUUCCUACUGUAAUUGCCAUUUAAAUUAAUAAAAAAUACUUGG